This 424-nucleotide ribosomal RNA is filed under the name Verrucomicrobiota bacterium. Its description in RNAcentral is "Verrucomicrobia bacterium partial 16S ribosomal RNA". It matches the Rfam family "Bacterial small subunit ribosomal RNA", at positions 355 to 776 of the family's 1533-position model. The record is from RNAcentral. Lineage: Bacteria; Pseudomonadati; Verrucomicrobiota.
UGAGGAAUAUUGUUCAAUGGACGCAAGUCUGAACCAGCCAAGUAGCGUGCAGGAUGACGGCCCUAUGGGUUGUAAACUGCUUUUAUAUGGGGAUAAAGUUGGGAACGUUUUCCCUUUUGCAGGUACCAUAUGAAUAAGGACCGGCUAAUUCCGUGCCAGCAGCCGCGGUAAUACGGAAGGUUCGGGCGUUAUCCGGAUUUAUUGGGUUUAAAGGGAGCGUAGGCCGUUUGGUAAGCGUGUUGUGAAAUGUAGGAGCUCAACUUCUAGAUUGCAGCGCGAACUGUCAGACUUGAGUGCGCACAACGUAGGCGGAAUUCAUGGUGUAGCGGUGAAAUGCUUAGAUAUCAUGAAGAACUCCGAUUGCGAAGGCAGCUUACGGGAGCGCAACUGACGCUGAAGCUCGAAGGGGCGGGUAUCGAACAGG